GACGGGGGGGGCAAGCGUUGUUCGGAAUGACUGGGCGUAAAGGGCUCGUAGGCGGCUAAUUAAGUCAGACGUGAAAUCCCCAGGCUCAACCUGGGAACUGCGUCUGAUACUGGAUGGCUUGAAUCCGGGAGAGGGAUGCAGAAUUCCAGGUGUAGCGGUGAAAUGCGUAGAUAUCUGGAGGAAUACCGGUGGCGAAGGCGGCAUCCUGGACCGGCAUUGACGCUGAGGAGCGAAAGCCAGGGGAGCAAACGGG
Molecule: ribosomal RNA, 253 nt
Filed under: uncultured bacterium
Lineage: Bacteria
Description: partial 16S ribosomal RNA
Rfam family: Bacterial small subunit ribosomal RNA
Source: RNAcentral